CACUUCUAAGGAAGGCAGCAGGCGCGCAAAUUACCCAAUCCUGAUUCAGGGAGGUAGUGACAAGAAAUAACAAUAGUUCGGCAAUAGUCAAACUAAUUGGAAUGAGUGCAAUUUAAACAUCUUGACGAGGAACAAUUGGAGGGCAAGUCUGGUGCCAGCAGCCGCGGUAAUUCCAGCUCCAAUAGCGUAUACUAAAGUUGUUGCAGUUAAAAAGCUCGUAGUUGGAUUUCUGUGGGGACGGAGCGGCCGGCCGCACAUCGCGGUUCGAGCUAGCGCUUUCCCUACAUCCUGCCGCGAACCGUGCUACCAUUAAUUUGGUGGCGCUGGGGAUCGGCUCGAUUACUUUGAGAAAAAUAGAGUGUUCAAAGCAGGCCACAUGCCUUGAAUAAGUUAGCAUGGAAUAAUAACUAAGGACUUCGGUUCUAUUUUGUUGGUGUUCGGGACUGAAGUAAUGAUUGAUAGGGACAGUUGGGGCGGUCUGUAUUCCAAAGCGAGAGGUGAAAUUCCUAGACCUUCGGAAGACAAACAGCUGCGAAAGCGUUCCGCAAGGAUGUUCCCUUUGAUCAAGAACGAAAGUUGGGGGAUCGAAGACGAUCAGAUACCGUCGUAGUCUCAACUAUAAACUAUACCAGCUAGGGAUCGGCCAACGUUAUUUUAUACCGACUUGGUCGGCACCUUAUGAGAAAUCAAAGCAUCUGGGUUCCGGGGGGAGUAUGGUCGCAAGGCUGAAACUUAAAGGAAUUGACGGAAGGGCACCACCAGCCGUGGAGCCUGUGGCUUAAUUUGACUCAACACGGGAAAACUUACCAGGUCCAGACAUAGUUAGGAUUGACAGAUUAAGAGCUCUUUCUUGAUUCUGUGGGUGGUGGUGCAUGGCCGUUCUUAGUUGGUGGAGUGAUUUGUCUGGUUAAUUCCGUUAACGAACGAGACCCCAGCCUGCUAAAUAGCGCGCGUGAGCUUUGCUCGCGGCGAGCUUCUUAGAGGGACUAUGAUGCGCGAUAGCACAUGGAAGUUUGGGGCAAUAACGGGUCUGUGAUGCCCUUAGAUGUUCUGGGCCGCACACGGGCUACACUGGCGCCUGCAACGAGCAUAUCAGCUGGCCCGAGAGGGUCUUGGCUAAUCUUUUGAACCGGCGCCGUGCUUGGGAUUGACCUUUGCAAUUGUUGGUCAUGCAACGAGGAAUGCCUUGUAAACGCGAGUCAUCAGCUCGCAUUGAAUACGUCCCUGCCCUUUGUACACACCGCCCGUCGCUCCUACCGAUGAAUGUUCCGAUGAAAUUUUCGGAGAGCACCUGUGAACUUGGCUCUGCCUUGCGAACGGGAGGCUCAAAGUCACUUAAAUCUGAACAUUUCGAGG
RNAcentral lists this ribosomal RNA (1356 nucleotides) under uncultured marine eukaryote. RNAcentral's name for it is "SSU rRNA". It matches the Rfam family "Eukaryotic small subunit ribosomal RNA", at positions 411 to 1779 of the family's 1831-position model. The record is from RNAcentral.